This 71-nucleotide transfer RNA is filed under the name Elusimicrobiota bacterium. RNAcentral's name for it is "tRNA-Gly". It matches the Rfam family "tRNA". From Rfam's summary of the family: Transfer RNA (tRNA) molecules are approximately 80 nucleotides in length. The record is from RNAcentral. Lineage: Bacteria; Pseudomonadati; Elusimicrobiota.
GCGGGUAUAGUUCAGUGGUAGAAUGUGAGCUUCCCAAGCUUAAGAUGUGGGUUCGAUUCCCAUUACCCGCU